CGGACCGUGUACAAGUCUCCUGGAACGGAGCGUCAUAGAGGGUGAGAAUCCCGUCCAUGACACGGACGCCCGAUGCUUUGUGAUACGCUCCCGAAGAGUCGCGUUGUUUGGGAAUGCAGCGCAAAAUGGGUGGUAAAUUCCAUCUAAGGCUAAAUAUUGGCGAGAGACCGAUAGCGAACAAGUACCGUGAGGGAAAGAUGAAAAGCACUUUGGAAAGAGAGUUAAACAGUACGUGAAAUUGUUGAAAGGGAAACGCUUGAAGUCAGUCGCGUCCGGUGGAACUCAGCCUUGCUUCGGCCUGGUGUACUUUCCGCCGGACGGGUCAACAUCAAUUUCAGCCGGUGGACAAGGGCGAGGGGAAUGUAGCGUCGCUUCGGCGACGUGUUAUAGCCUCUCGCCGUAUGCACCGGCAGGGAUUGAGGACCGCAGCACGCCCUUGUGGCCGGGGGUUCGCCCCACGUAACGUGCUUAGGAUGUUGGCAUAAUGGCUUUAAGCGACCCGUCU
Molecule: ribosomal RNA, 505 nt
Filed under: Fomitiporella sp.
Lineage: Eukaryota; Fungi; Basidiomycota; Agaricomycetes; Hymenochaetales; Hymenochaetaceae
Description: partial large subunit ribosomal RNA
Rfam family: Eukaryotic large subunit ribosomal RNA
Source: RNAcentral